AGAGUUUGAUCCUGGCUCAGAAUGAACGCUGGCGGCGUGCCUAACACAUGCAAGUCGGAUGUGCCGCAAGGUGCAUGGCAGACGGGUGAGUAACGCGUGGGGAACCUACCUCUUUGUGGGGAAUAACGCUCCGAAAGGAGUGGUAAUACCGCAUGUGAUCAUUGGCUGGGAUGCUGGUGAUGAAAGCUGGGGAUCGAAAGACCUAGCGCAAGGAGAGGGUCCUGCGUCUGAUUAGCUAGUUGGUGGGGUAACGGCCUACCAAGGCGACGAUCAGUAGCCGGCCUGAGAGGGUGAUCGGCCACACUGGAACUGAGACACGGUCCAGACUCCUACGGGAGGCAGCAGUGGGGAAUUUUGCGCAAUGGACGAAAGUCUGACGCAGCAACGCCGCGUGGGUGAUGAAGGUCUUCGGAUCGUAAAACCCUGUCGUCAGGGACGAAGGUUGUGUUCUUAAUACGGAUGCAGCUUGACGGUACCUGGAGAGGAAGCCCCGGCUAACUCUGUGCCAGCAGCCGCGGUAAUACAGAGGGGGCAAGCGUUAUUCGGAAUUAUUGGGCGUAAAGGGUGCGUAGGCGGUGGUUUAAGUGAGAUGUGUAAUCCCCGGGCUUAACCUGGGAACUGCAUCUCAUACUGGAUCGCUAGAGUGCUGGAGAGGGUGGUAGAAUUCCACGUGUAGCGGUGAAAUGCGUAGAGAUGUGGAGGAAUACCAGUGGCGAAGGCGGCCACCUGGACAGUAACUGACGCUGAGGCACGAAAGUGUGGGUAGCAAACAGGAUUAGAUACCCUGGUAGUCCACGCUGUAAACGAUGAACACUUGGUGUGGUGGGAGUUGACCCCUGCCGUGCCGUAGCUAAGCGCGAUAAGUGUUCCGCCUGGGGAGUACGGUCGCAAGGCUGAAACUCAAAUGAAUUGACGG
RNAcentral lists this ribosomal RNA (916 nucleotides) under uncultured bacterium. RNAcentral's name for it is "bacterial SSU rRNA". It matches the Rfam family "Bacterial small subunit ribosomal RNA", at positions 8 to 916 of the family's 1533-position model. The record is from RNAcentral.